GACGAACGCUGGCGGCGUGCUUAACACAUGCAAGUCGAACGGAGUGGCGAACGGGGGAGUAACACGUGGGUGAUCUGCCUUGCACUUCGGGAUAAGCGUGGGAAACUGGGUCUAAUACCGGAUAGUGCAAGAUGAGCUCGCGGCCUAUCAGCUUGUUGGUGGGGGAAUGGCCUACCAAGGCGUCGAAGGGUAGCCGGCCUGAGAGGGUUUACGGCAACAAUGGGCCUGAGAGACGGCCCAGUAUCCUACGGGCGGCAGUAGUGGGGAAUAUUGCACAAUGGGCGGAAGCCUGAUGCAGCGACGCCGGGUGGGGGAUGAAGGCCUUCUGGUUGUAAACUCCUUUCGUCAGGGACGCGGUACCUGUAUAAGAAGCACCGGCUAACUACGUGCCAGCAGCCGCGGUAAUAC
This 408-nucleotide ribosomal RNA is filed under the name uncultured bacterium. RNAcentral's name for it is "partial 16S ribosomal RNA". It matches the Rfam family "Bacterial small subunit ribosomal RNA", at positions 28 to 526 of the family's 1533-position model. The record is from RNAcentral.